GCGCGGUGGCUCAUGCCUGUAAUCCCAGCACUUUGGGAGGCCGAGGUCAGACAACUUGGCAUCACUGACUGCCACUCCUGCUUGGCAACAGUCUCCAGAGUUGAGGAACUACAUCCUUUAAAGAACCCUUUCCUUUCCAGUUGUUCUAGAACCCCCCUCCCUGUUGUCUUCCCAACUCCUCCUGCCCCUACAGGCGUCUGCAUGCAUGAGCCCCUGGUAAGACUGAGAACAUAUGCAAAUAGUGCCUGGAAUGAAAUAAAUACUCAAUAAAUGCUAUUAUUACUCUUGCAUGAGAAAUCACUCAUCUACAGUUUUGAAAAUGAGCCUGUUUUAGGGACACAGAUUUAUGUGUCACGCAUGUGUGGAUGGGUUGCAUUCUUAGAGUGUGUAGGAAACUGGUGAUCCAAACAAGAAGUGCCAGUACUCAGAGGCCCCAUACCUGCACCUUCCACAGCUCUGGAAGGAA
RNAcentral lists this long non-coding RNA (466 nucleotides) under Homo sapiens (human). RNAcentral describes it as "HSALNT0359609". The record is from RNAcentral. Lineage: Eukaryota; Metazoa; Chordata; Mammalia; Primates; Hominidae.